RNAcentral lists this ribosomal RNA (492 nucleotides) under uncultured bacterium. RNAcentral describes it as "partial 16S ribosomal RNA". It matches the Rfam family "Bacterial small subunit ribosomal RNA", at positions 30 to 507 of the family's 1533-position model. The record is from RNAcentral.
CGAACGCUGGCGGCGUGCUUAACACAUGCAAGUCGAACGGUGAAGCGCCUUCCUUUUUGGUGGGUGUGGAUGAGUGGCGAACGGGUGAGUAACACGUGAGUAACCUGCCCCCUUCUUCUGGAUAACCGCAUGAAAGUGUGGCUAAUACGGGAUAUUCUGGGUCUGUCGCAUGAUGGGUCUGGGAAAGAUAUUGUUUCGGUGGGGGAUGGGCUCGCGGCCUAUCAGCUUGUUGGUGGGGUGAUGGCCUACCAAGGCGGUGACGGGUAGCCGGCCUGGGAGGGUGGACGGUCACACUGGGACUGAGACACGGCCCAGACUCCUACGGGAGGCAGCAGUGGGGAAUAUGGCACAAUGGGCGCAAGCCUGAUGCAGCGACGCCGCGUGAGGGAUGGAGGCCUUCGGGUUGUGAACCUCUUUCGCCAGUGAAGCAGGCCUGCCUCGUUUGUGGGUGGGUUGACGGUAGCUGGAUAAGAAGCGCCGGCUAACUACGUG